RNAcentral lists this ribosomal RNA (1345 nucleotides) under uncultured bacterium. Its description in RNAcentral is "partial 16S ribosomal RNA". It matches the Rfam family "Bacterial small subunit ribosomal RNA", at positions 28 to 1381 of the family's 1533-position model. The record is from RNAcentral.
GACGAACGCUGGCGGCGUGUUUACACAUGCAAGUCGAACGGAAAGGCCCUGCUUUUGUGGGGUGCUCGAGUGGCGAACGGGUGAGUAACACGUGAGUAACCUGCCCUUGACUUUGGGAUAACUUCAGGAAACUGGGGCUAAUACCGGAUAGGAGCUCCUGCUGCAUGGUGGGGGUUGGAAAGUUUCGGCGGUUGGGGAUGGACUCGCGGCUUAUCAGCUUGUUGGUGGGGUAGUGGCUUACCAAGGCUUUGACGGGUAGCCGGCCUGAGAGGGUGACCGGCCACAUUGGGACUGAGAUACGGCCCAGACUCCUACGGGAGGCAGCAGUGGGGAAUAUUGCACAAUGGGCGGAAGCCUGAUGCAGCAACGCCGCGUGCGGGAUGACGGCCUUCGGGUUGUAAACCGCUUUCGCCUGUGACGAAGCGUGAGUGACGGUAAUGGGUAAAGAAGCACCGGCUAACUACGUGCCAGCAGCCGCGGUGAUACGUAGGGUGCGAGCGUUGUCCGGAUUUAUUGGGCGUAAAGGGCUCGUAGGUGGUUGAUCGCGUCGGAAGUGUAAUCUUGGGGCUUAACCCUGAGCGUGCUUUCGAUACGGGUUGACUUGAGGAAGGUAGGGGAGAAUGGAAUUCCUGGUGGAGCGGUGGAAUGCGCAGAUAUCAGGAGGAACACCAGUGGCGAAGGCGGUUCUCUGGGCCUUUCCUGACGCUGAGGAGCGAAAGCGUGGGGAGCGAACAGGCUUAGAUACCCUGGUAGUCCACGCUGUAAACGGUGGGUACUAGGUGUGGGGUCCAUUCCACGGGUUCCGUGCCGUAGCUAACGCUUUAAGUACCCCGCCUGGGGAGUACGGCCGCAAGGCUAAAACUCAAAGGAAUUGACGGGGCCCCGCACAAGCGGCGGAGCAUGCGGAUUAAUUCGAUGCAACGCGUAGAACCUUACCUGGGUUUGACAUGGAUCGGGAGUGCUCAGAGAUGGGUGUGCCUCUUUUGGGGUCGGUUCACAGGUGGUGCAUGGCUGUCGUCAGCUCGUGUCGUGAGAUGUUGGGUUAAGUCCCGCAACGAGCGCAACCCUUGUUCACUGUUGCCAGCACGUUAUGGUGGGGACUCAGUGGAGACCGCCGGGGUCAACUCGGAGGAAGGUGGGGAUGACGUCAAGUCAUCAUGCCCCUUAUGUCCAGGGCUUCACGCAUGCUACAAUGGCUGGUACAGAGAGUGGCGAGCCUGUGAGGGUGAGCGAAUCUCGGAAAGCCGGUCUCAGUUCGGAUUGGGGUCUGCAACUCGACCUCAUGAAGUCGGAGUCGCUAGUAAUCGCAGAUCAGCAACGCUGCGGUGAAUACGUUCCCGGGGCU